This 269-nucleotide small RNA is filed under the name Arabidopsis thaliana (thale cress). RNAcentral describes it as "ATSL156680". The record is from RNAcentral. Lineage: Eukaryota; Viridiplantae; Streptophyta; Magnoliopsida; Brassicales; Brassicaceae.
UUAUGGAUAAGAGCAUUUCGGACACCGAUGUUUGGAAUUUGUCACAAGGGCCGAAUGAGUCAUUUUGGAUUUUUAUGACCAAAUUCAAGGGUGUACUUUCAAAGCUUCCAAGGAUUUCGCAACAAUCGGCUUUGUCUGCCCUACGAAAAGGCUUGUGGCAUGAUUCAAAAUUUUAAAAGGAUCUAAUACUACACAAGCCGGACACAAUUCAAGAUGCACUUUUUCGAGCAAACAACUGGACGGAAGUAGAAGACGAAAAAGAAAGUUUU